RNAcentral lists this ribosomal RNA (812 nucleotides) under Philometra thaiensis. RNAcentral's name for it is "SSU rRNA". It matches the Rfam family "Eukaryotic small subunit ribosomal RNA", at positions 109 to 921 of the family's 1831-position model. Lineage: Eukaryota; Metazoa; Nematoda; Chromadorea; Rhabditida; Philometridae. The record is from RNAcentral.
GCUAUUAUUUACUUGAUUUAGAUUCCAUACGUGGAUAACUGUGGCAAUUCUAGAGCUAAUACAUGCACCAAAGCUCCGACUCGUUGACGAGCGCAUCUAUUAGAAUAAAACCAAUCGAGACAGUGUCUCGUCCAUUUGGUGACUCUGAAUAGCUUAGCUGAUCGCAUGGUCACGCACCGGCGACGUAUCUAUCAAGUAUCUGCCUUAUCAACUUUCGAUGGUAGUUUAUAUGACUACCAUGGUUGUAACGGGUAACGGAGAAUAAGGGUUCGACUCCGGAGAGGGAGCCUGAGAAACGGCUACCACUUCCAAGGAAGGCAGCAGGCGCGCAAAUUACCCACUCUCAGCUCAGAGGAGGUAGUGACGAAAAAUAACGAGACCGUACUCGAUGAGGCCGGUUAUCGGAAUGGGUACAAUUUAAACCCGUUAACGAGGAUCUAUGAGAGGGCAAGUCUGGUGCCAGCAGCCGCGGUAAUUCCAGCUCUCAAAGUGUAUAUCGGCAUUGCUGCGGUUAAAAAGCUCGUAGUUGGAUUUCAGCCUUACGACGUGGUCCAUUCAUUGAAUGCGAACUACGCCUCGUAGGCUAUAUUGAUGUUGGUUUUUCCUUACGUUGCUCUAAUCGGCUGCGUAAGGUGGCUAACGAGUUUACCUUGAAAAAAUUAGAGUGCUCAACGCGGGCUAACGCCUGAAUACUCGUGCAUGGAAUAAUGGAAUAGGAUCUCGGUUCUAUUUUGUUGGUUUUCUGAUCUGAGAUAAUGGUUAAGAGGGACAGACGGGGGCAUUCGUAUCGCUGCGUGAGAGGUGAAAUUCUU